Molecule: long non-coding RNA, 531 nt
Filed under: Gadus morhua (Atlantic cod)
Lineage: Eukaryota; Metazoa; Chordata; Actinopteri; Gadiformes; Gadidae
Description: lncRNA (ENSGMOG00000026111.1)
Source: RNAcentral
AUGUCCCUCUCCUCCUGUGUCCUUGUGAAACAUAUCUGUUUGCCCCCUCAGUGUCUUCCUCAGCCCCUGGCCAGUGUUGAAAGGGAUAUGUUCAAUGUCUCUUCUGUCAUCAGUACUAAAUUCACAUUGAGCCUACGCGUGGACUCCAGGAAUGUUUCCCUUUGCAGCUGGAGUCAGACAUACGAAGAAGGCGGCCAAUACUCUGUCUGGAUCCAGCAGCAGACUGCGUCCAACACCAGCGCCAUCUGCCGUCACUCAGUGGAUGAAAAUCCCAGGAACGCAUACCUACCGCUUCUGGUGGCUCUCCUGGUGCUGGCCGUCAUCGCCCUUCUGUUCGUUCUCAUACCCUACAUCAACAGGAAGUACAACGCAACAAAACGGAUCAAGAAUGCUUGUUGCCCGAGCCCGCAAUACACAGUGGACUGUGUGAGUAUCAAGGCACCGGUAAUACGCCCGCCCGACACAGAGAGACAUGACAGACCUUGCUUGUUGGGCUGUUUGCAAGACAACGUGGCUCCAAGAUCUAAUUAA